CCGCCACGUCCAGGGCAUCAUCGACCGCGACACCUCCUCCACCACCGCCGGAGCCGGAGGCCACCGCCACCUUCACCUGUGCUUCAGGGCUUGAAAAGUUCAAACCCUACGUAGCUGAGGCUUUUGUAAAAGCUUCGGAAUCUGAAAACAUACUUGUAGUUCGUUCAAUCAAAGAGACUUCGUUGUACAGGAAAACAGCAUAAUACAUGCUAUCAAGGCAUCAAUGGCAUACAUUUCAGGCAUUCUCUACAAAGCCAGGAUCGAAAGAAUUGCAACAAUAACAAACGAAGAGAUGGGGUAGAUAAUGAACAAAGAAUUACAUCAGGGGAUCGCAGGAUUUAGUUAUGUCUCACGUUUGCGCUGCGGAUGGU
Molecule: long non-coding RNA, 371 nt
Organism: Musa acuminata AAA Group (dessert banana)
Lineage: Eukaryota; Viridiplantae; Streptophyta; Magnoliopsida; Zingiberales; Musaceae
Exons: 3
Source: RefSeq, a predicted model, not a curated record